UAUUGUGAUACAUUAAAAUCAGUUUGCAAUUCUUUCGGAAAUAUGCAAUUUUGAUCGAUGAAGUCGAUGGAUUUAUACAAAGAAUUGAUUGAAAUAGAUUACAUACUUUAAAUUUUAAAGUUUAAAAUAAUAGAAAAAUAUACAAAAUGUAAAAAAAUUAGUAGUGCAUGCAUCACUUAGUGGAACAUGAACUAAAGAAAAGAAACAUAGUACUGCAACAUCUAAUAUUAAAGAAUGUUUCACAGAAUAUUCUUUAGAAGAUAAAGUUGAAGCUUUAAAAAACAUGCUCUCUUAUAAUGAAAAACAUGGACAAAUUGGACCAUCAUAUACAAAUAAAAUAUGUAAUUUAAAAAAAACAACUGGUAUCAAAGAAUGCUUACAAGGAAAUGAAGAAACACCAUUUCAAACACUUAUUUCAGAACUAAGAAAUACUGUAAUGAAUAGUUAUUGGAAUAAAGAAAUUGGAAAAACACGUUAUCAAGUUCCAAACCUUCCUAUAGGAUUAAAUCCACUGGACACAACUUUUGGGAAAAAAAUUAAGUCUGUUUUUAUUAAUUCUGUAGAAGCAACUGUGGCUGAACUUCUUAAAGAAAAAGUGGAUAAAAAUAAUAUAUUAGAGCAAGAUAUUUUAGAGAUGUAUAAAAAAAGUCACAACAGUUAUUUGCCUGCAGAACAAAUUAAAAGACGUUACAAAAAACCUUUUGAUCAAAAUUUAUAUUUUGGAAAACCAACUAAUACUAGUACAGAAGGUGCUCGAGUAAAGAAACUUUUAACAUGGGUUAUUACUGAUGUCAAUAAAAUAAUUAAUUCCGAGUUAGAUGAUUUUAUAGAAGAUUCACGUUCUGAUAUCAAAGAAGUAAGAAAUUUGAAAAAUACACAUAUAUGUACAAACGUAGUAUCCAGUAAAAUAAAUGAAAAAAAAGGAGAGAACAUACAGAGUAUUUUAAAUGAAUGUUCCCCAAAUAAUGAUCAGAAGAUAAUGCAAUACAACUACUUAGAGUACAUAAAUAGUUUACGUCAAAGACUUAAAAAACGUGUUCCAGAAAUUCCAUUUGCCGAUGUUUUUGAAGAUUUAGUUAAUCUUGAUAAAGAUUACACAGAAAUAUUACCAGAAAAUGAAGUCUUUCCUGUAUUAGCUAAAUAUAAAAUAUAUGUAAAUGAAAUACUUUUAAUGCCAUUAUUGGAUCUUCUUCAAAUACGCAAAGGGAAAAAUGUGAAAAACACCUAUAGAAUGCCAAAAUUAUAGUACUACAUAUAAUGAAACAAUAGGGAAUAUAGAAGAAAAAAGUAUUAUAAAUGUUUCUGCAGCUGGGAUUCCAUCUAAUAUCACAGGAGAAAAAACUACUGCCUUCAAUCUAAUAUUCCCAAAUAUUUUCACAAGAUAUGGU
RNAcentral lists this unclassified non-coding RNA (1388 nucleotides) under Megachile rotundata (alfalfa leafcutting bee). Its description in RNAcentral is "eF-hand domain-containing family member B-like, transcript variant X1". The record is from RNAcentral. Lineage: Eukaryota; Metazoa; Arthropoda; Insecta; Hymenoptera; Megachilidae.